RNAcentral lists this long non-coding RNA (1268 nucleotides) under Bos indicus x Bos taurus (hybrid cattle). RNAcentral's name for it is "lncRNA (ENSBIXG00005010969.1)". Lineage: Eukaryota; Metazoa; Chordata; Mammalia; Artiodactyla; Bovidae. The record is from RNAcentral.
GAUGAUUUGAGAGAAUAGCACUGAAACAUGUAUAUUAUCAUAUGUGAAACAGACUGCCAGCCUAGGUUCAAUGCAUGAGACAGGGUGCUCAGGGCUGAUACAAUGGGAUGACCCAGAGGGUUGGGAUGGGAAGGGGUGGGGGGGCUUCAGGAUGGGGAACACAUGUACACCCAUGGCUGAUUCAUGUCAUUGUAUGGUAAAAACCACUACAAUAUUGUAAAGUAAUUAGCCUCCAAUUAAAAUAAAUAAAUUACUUUUAAAAAAGGAAAUAAGAAUUCCAAUAAUUAUUUUAAUUUUGACUUUAUAGUAUGCUAUCCCUGGCCUCCAUGAGAUAAUGGCACUUCAUUUGAUAUGUGAAGGAUGAAGAGGAGGUGAAUGACAAAGAGUAGGAAAGAGGAUUCCAGACACAAGGAACCAUUAUGAAGUGAGAAUGAACAUGGUAUGUGGAUAAACAGGAAGUGACUUCUCAAUUUGAUAGAACUUUAAAAUCAGAGAUGCAUUUACUUCCUUCUUUAAGUGCUCUUUACAAUUCUUUAAAUCUUUAAUUUCUUUAAAAUAGAAUUUGCCAGUAAAGAAUACAAUGAUAUCCUUCUAUUCAGAUAGGAAAGGAGCUGAAGUUGCUCAGUCGUGUCUGACUCUUUGCGACUCCAUGGACUGUAGCCCACCAGGCUUCUCCAUCCACGGAAUUUUCCAGGCAUGAGUACUGGACUGGGUUGCCACUGCCUACUCCAGGGGAUCUUCCUGACCCAGGGAUUGAACCCAGGUCUCCCGCAUUGCAGACAGACACUUUACCAUCUGAGCUACCAGGGAAUCUCCCAGGAAAGGAGCCUCCCCCCCGCACCCACCCCAGCACUGAAGAAGCACAGGUGACAAAGGAGACUUGUGGAUUGAGUACAACUGACUCUUCAUCUGACAUCAGCCUCAGCUUCUUUACCUGCACUUUAGCCUUGAAGAAUCUUGCCACCCAGUUUGGAAGAAAGAGAGACAGAGCUCUGGGAUCACUUUACUGGAUGUCACCUGUUCUGUGCGGGAGGAAGAUCACACUCUGCCUUGAAACCCAGAAAUAAAAAAGUUUCCAGUUCCUCUUCAUUAUGGUUCUGAACAGCUGAACUUAGGCUCUGAAGUGCUAUUUUCCCAGUCUUCUCAGAAACAUGAUGACUUUAUCAGAGAUUAUGGAUGGAAGGCUCAAUUGUCACUGAGCUAGAUGGAGCCAGAAAUGACUUGGAUUUCAAGUAGAAUUGAAGAAUUUCUUUUGGAACCAAUGACAG